UACGGAGGGUGCGAGCGUUGUCCGGAUUUAUUGGGCGUAAAGGGCUCGUAGGCGGUCCGUCACGUCGGGAGUGAAAACUCGGGGCUCAACCCCGAGCCUGCUUUCGAUACGGGCGGACUAGAGGUAGGUAGGGGAGAACGGAAUUCCUGGUGUAGCGGUGGAAUGCGCAGAUAUCAGGAGGAACACCGGUGGCGAAGGCGGUUCUCUGGGCCUUACCUGACGCUGAGGAGCGAAAGCGUGGGGAGCGAACAGG
This 253-nucleotide ribosomal RNA is filed under the name uncultured bacterium. RNAcentral describes it as "partial 16S ribosomal RNA". It matches the Rfam family "Bacterial small subunit ribosomal RNA", at positions 524 to 776 of the family's 1533-position model. The record is from RNAcentral.